RNAcentral lists this long non-coding RNA (385 nucleotides) under Homo sapiens (human). Its description in RNAcentral is "non-protein coding lnc-AKAP3-6:1". The record is from RNAcentral. Lineage: Eukaryota; Metazoa; Chordata; Mammalia; Primates; Hominidae.
ACUGCAUGUAAUCACAAUUAUUUUAUCAAUUGCCAGUUUUGAGAUAUUUAUGCUAUUAAAAUUUUUUUCUUUUAUAAUGUUUUAAUGAACAUUCUUGUAAUAAAUAUUUGUACUUAUCCAUGAUUACGCAUUUAGAAUAUAUUUGUAGAAGUGGAACUGGGUCAAUGUAGACUUUAAAAUUUUAAGGCUUUUAUUGAAUACUUCUAAACUGCUUUUCAAAAUGGUUCUAUCAAUUUAUAUAAAAUGUUAAGUAUAUAACAUUUUAGAUAAUUAUAUAAAUUAUAAUUAUAUAUAUGUAAUUAUAUAUAAGAAUGCCCCCUCCACCCGAAAUGAGUUGUCAUAAGAAAAUAAAAUUUUUGCCAAUCUGCUAGGUUAAAAAAAAAAA